Molecule: ribosomal RNA, 467 nt
Filed under: uncultured organism
Description: partial 16S ribosomal RNA
Rfam family: Bacterial small subunit ribosomal RNA
Source: RNAcentral
ACACUCCUGCGGGAGGCAGCAGUGAGGAAUAUUGGACAAUGGGUGGAAGCCUGAUCCAGCCAUCCCGCGUGCAGGAAGACGGCCCUAUGGGUUGUAAACUGCUUUUAUCUGGGGAUAAACCUACUUACGUGUAAGUAGCUGAAGGUACCAGAAGAAUAAGCACCGGCUAACUCCGUGCCAGCAGCCGCGGUAAUACGGAGGGUGCAAGCGUUAUCCGGAUUUAUUGGGUUUAAAGGGUCCGUAGGCGGACUGAUAAGUCAGUGGUGAAAUCCGACAGCUUAACUGUCGAACUGCCAUUGAUACUGUUAGUCUUGAGUAAGGUUGAAGUGGCUGGAAUAAGUAGUGUAGCGGUGAAAUGCAUAGAUAUUACUUAGAACACCAAUUGCGAAGGCAGGUCACUAAGUCUUAACUGACGCUGAUGGACGAAAGCGUGGGGAGCGAACAGGAUUAGAAACCCUUGUAGUCCC